RNAcentral lists this ribosomal RNA (496 nucleotides) under uncultured bacterium. Its description in RNAcentral is "partial 16S ribosomal RNA". It matches the Rfam family "Bacterial small subunit ribosomal RNA", at positions 28 to 506 of the family's 1533-position model. The record is from RNAcentral.
GAUGAACGCUGGCGGCGUGCCUAAUACAUGCAAGUCGAGCGAACAGACGAGGAGCUUGCUCCUUUGACGUUAGCGGCGGACGGGUGAGUAACACGUAGGUAACCUACCUAUAAGACUGGGAUAACUUCGGGAAACCGGAGCUAAUACCGGAUAAUAUUUCGAACCGCAUGGUUCGAUAGUGAAAGAUGGCUUUGCUAUCACUUAUAGAUGGACCUGCGCCGUAUUAGCUAGUUGGUAAGGUAACGGCUUACCAAGGCAACGAUACGUAGCCGACCUGAGAGGGGGAACGGCCCCACGGGAACGGAGAACCGGCCCAGACCCCAAGGGGGGGCCGGAGGAGGGAAUUUUCCGAAAUGGGGGAAAGCCGGACGGGGCACCGCCGCGGGAGUGAAGAAGGUCUUCGGAUCGUAAAACUCUGUUAUUAGGGAAGAAAAAACGGUUAAGUAACUGUGCACGUCUGGACGGUACCUAAACAGAAAGCCCCGGCUAACUACGG